GUCUUCGGUGCUCCAUUAAUAAGAGGGAGAUGUUCAAAAAUAACAAUUCUACUUGAUCAGCAAUAUUUCUCAAGAGAUUCACCAUAUCUAUUACCACCUGAAGGAAUUGGAGAAUGGCUGUAGUGAAGAAAAUUGGUGCAGAGAAAACUGGGAGGGGAAGUAGCUGAGCACUAUCUGCUACCCUCAAGGACCUUAGCAGACCAGCACCCUACAAGGACGCCUGGUUGUGUACUGCAAACACACAUUCCACAUUCAUUCAUUCUGCACAUCUUUAGUGUGGAAAAUGAUAUCAUGCACGCUAAUAUGACCCAAAUGCAUCAGUACAUCACUUACUAAUCUACUGAUAGUCACUCUCUGAAGAAUAAAAGUAGGAGCGUUUGCAACAGUCAAGAUAUAGAAGCCGCACAAGUGUCCGUCAAUAGAUGAACAAAUUCCAUAUACAAUGGAGUAUUACUCAGCCAUAAAAAGAAUGAAAUCUUGCCAUUUGCAAAAAUAUGGAUGUUGAAAUUUCUAGAAUUCCACAAUAUCUGUUAUU
Molecule: long non-coding RNA, 535 nt
Organism: Suricata suricatta (meerkat)
Lineage: Eukaryota; Metazoa; Chordata; Mammalia; Carnivora; Herpestidae
Exons: 4
Source: RefSeq, a predicted model, not a curated record